RNAcentral lists this ribosomal RNA (1413 nucleotides) under Lacticaseibacillus rhamnosus. Its description in RNAcentral is "bacterial SSU rRNA". It matches the Rfam family "Bacterial small subunit ribosomal RNA". Lineage: Bacteria; Bacillati; Bacillota; Bacilli; Lactobacillales; Lactobacillaceae. The record is from RNAcentral.
GAUGCAUUGGCGCGUCUAUAAUGCAGUCGUACGAGUGUCUGAUUAUUGAAAGGUGCUUGCAUCUUGAUUUAAUUUUGAACGAGUGGCGGACGGGUGAGUAACACGUGGGUAACCUGCCCUUAAGUGGGGGAUAACAUUUGGAAACAGAUGCUAAUACCGCAUAAAUCCAAGAACCGCAUGGUUCUUGGCUGAAAGAUGGCGUAAGCUAUCGCUUUUGGAUGGACCCGCGGCGUAUUAGCUAGUUGGUGAGGUAACGGCUCACCAAGGCAAUGAUACGUAGCCGAACUGAGAGGUUGAUCGGCCACAUUGGGACUGAGACACGGCCCAAACUCCUACGGGAGGCAGCAGUAGGGAAUCUUCCACAAUGGACGCAAGUCUGAUGGAGCAACGCCGCGUGAGUGAAGAAGGCUUUCGGGUCGUAAAACUCUGUUGUUGGAGAAGAAUGGUCGGCAGAGUAACUGUUGUCGGCGUGACGGUAUCCAACCAGAAAGCCACGGCUAACUACGUGCCAGCAGCCGCGGUAAUACGUAGGUGGCAAGCGUUAUCCGGAUUUAUUGGGCGUAAAGCGAGCGCAGGCGGUUUUUUAAGUCUGAUGUGAAAGCCCUCGGCUUAACCGAGGAAGUGCAUCGGAAACUGGGAAACUUGAGUGCAGAAGAGGACAGUGGAACUCCAUGUGUAGCGGUGAAAUGCGUAGAUAUAUGGAAGAACACCAGUGGCGAAGGCGGCUGUCUGGUCUGUAACUGACGCUGAGGCUCGAAAGCAUGGGUAGCGAACAGGAUUAGAUACCCUGGUAGUCCAUGCCGUAAACGAUGAAUGCUAGGUGUUGGAGGGUUUCCGCCCUUCAGUGCCGCAGCUAACGCAUUAAGCAUUCCGCCUGGGGAGUACGACCGCAAGGUUGAAACUCAAAGGAAUUGACGGGGGCCCGCACAAGCGGUGGAGCAUGUGGUUUAAUUCGAAGCAACGCGAAGAACCUUACCAGGUCUUGACAUCUUUUGAUCACCUGAGAGAUCAGGUUUCCCCUUCGGGGGCAAAAUGACAGGUGGUGCAUGGUUGUCGUCAGCUCGUGUCGUGAGAUGUUGGGUUAAGUCCCGCAACGAGCGCAACCCUUAUGACUAGUUGCCAGCAUUUAGUUGGGCACUCUAGUAAGACUGCCGGUGACAAACCGGAGGAAGGUGGGGAUGACGUCAAAUCAUCAUGCCCCUUAUGACCUGGGCUACACACGUGCUACAAUGGAUGGUACAACGAGUUGCGAGACCGCGAGGUCAAGCUAAUCUCUUAAAGCCAUUCUCAGUUCGGACUGUAGGCUGCAACUCGCCUACACGAAGUCGGAAUCGCUAGUAAUCGCGGAUCAGCACGCCGCGGUGAAUACGUUCCCGGGCCUUGUACACACCGCCCGUCACACCAUGAGAGUUU